RNAcentral lists this ribosomal RNA (305 nucleotides) under uncultured bacterium. Its description in RNAcentral is "bacterial SSU rRNA". It matches the Rfam family "Bacterial small subunit ribosomal RNA", at positions 333 to 654 of the family's 1533-position model. The record is from RNAcentral.
UGACCUACGGGAGGCAGCAGUGGGGAAUAUUGGGCAAUGGGCGCAAGCCUGACCCGGCAACGCCGCGUGAAGGAAGAAGGCUUUCGGGUUGUAAACUUCUUUUCUCAGGGACGAAGCAAGUGACGGUACCUGAGGAAUAAGCCACGGCUAACUACGUGCCAGCAGCCGCGGUAAUACGUAGGUGGCAAGCGUUAUCCGGAUUUACUGGGUGUAAAGGGCGUGUAGGCGGGAAAGCAAGUCAGAUGUGAAAUCCUGCGGCUUAACCGCAGAACGGCAUUUGAAACUGUUGAUCUUGAGUACUGGAG